Molecule: non-coding RNA, 144 nt
Organism: Gossypium raimondii (Peruvian cotton)
Lineage: Eukaryota; Viridiplantae; Streptophyta; Magnoliopsida; Malvales; Malvaceae
Source: Rfam
AGUUAUAAUUAUUAUCUAUUUUUUUAUUAAAAACUGAAGUGAUUGAUGAAAUAACUAGAAAGAUACACAUAGUGUGCCAUGUAUAUAUUAUGUUAACAUAUAAAGACUAGCUUUUAAUGAUAGAAAUAGAUAAUUUUUUUAAUA